GGUCUAAUUGGUCCCAGCUGGGAACCCAGCCCACAUGGGUAAGGACAGGCACUCGUGAAAUGGCUUCCUGCUGGUCUCCAGCAGUUUGAGGAGAGUCGCUUACUGGAGUCCAGGACCUCAUGCUUGAGGGAGAAAGUGCUGAUCCUGCACCCUCUUCUUUGGGAUCCAGCGAAGGAGCAGAGGACUCCCUCUGGUGCUUUUGCUGGAGAGUGGAUCUUGAUUCAGCUGAAACUCAUGAAGAGUGGAGAGGUGAGAAGAUGAUGGACUGGCACCUACACAUAAGCUGCUGUAGGAAUGAAUGAAGGCUCUGAGGGUCAAGUGGUGAUGCAUAAGGUGUGGCUGUGUGAAUCAUUCCCCUUCUGCAGUGGAUGCAGCCAUCUCCAACAGAGCAAGCAGCUGCUGACAACAGCUCCUGAGACCUUUCUGGAGCAGUCUGGGAGAAAGUGUUUCUCACAGCCCUCAGCAAGAAGUGACUAAUUGGUGAAGUGGCUGGCUGAUUUUGUUUUUAGGACGUUGAGGUCAUGACAUAAUGGGAUGAAAUUUGAGGAUCAGAUAUUUUAGGCUGAGUUGCAAUGUCAGAAAAGCCUAAUAUAUGAACACAUUGAUAGCCCAGGUUAGAAGCAGUGGCUGAUGUUGUGACAGUACUGUCCUGUAGGAGCAGAAGGAUGAAAUGCCUAUUUUAUCCUCCACUUUGAGAUCAGGAGGAUAAGUGUUGUAACUAGAUACAAGGUCCUGAAUGGAUCUGAAAAAGAGUAGUAGUUCAAUUGUUGAAAAAACACAGUUCUGGGUUGUGUUGAAACAAACUCGAAUUCCAAAUAUGUUUAAGGACAGUGUCUUGUUUCUUCAUCUUGAAGUUAUUAAAGUACCUUGAAAAUUGGAAGAAUAAAA
Molecule: long non-coding RNA, 888 nt
Organism: Pogoniulus pusillus (Red-fronted tinkerbird)
Lineage: Eukaryota; Metazoa; Chordata; Aves; Piciformes; Lybiidae
Exons: 2
Source: RefSeq, a predicted model, not a curated record